This 68-nucleotide unclassified non-coding RNA is filed under the name Saccharolobus solfataricus. The record is from RNAcentral. Lineage: Archaea; Thermoproteati; Thermoproteota; Thermoprotei; Sulfolobales; Sulfolobaceae.
GGGGUCAGCUCCCAAGCCGUUCAUCCUGGCUCAGUUCUGGCGUGGCUCAUCAUUCCCCUUUCCCCGUU